GCUUACGGCCACACCGCCUAGUUCACGCCCAAUCUCGUUUGAUCUCGGAAGCUAAGAUACGUUGGGCCUGGUUAGUACUUGGAUGGGAGACCGCCUCGGAAUACCAGGUGCUGUAAGCU
RNAcentral lists this ribosomal RNA (119 nucleotides) under Scophthalmus maximus (turbot). The record is from RNAcentral. Lineage: Eukaryota; Metazoa; Chordata; Actinopteri; Pleuronectiformes; Scophthalmidae.